GUCAGGCUCGUUGACUUGGUUGAUACAUGUCAUCGGUUCCCAAUUGCGCAGAUCGAUGCCCAUGCUGUUGAUCAAUGGAUUGUCUGGUCCAAAUUAGAUUAAUUACAGACCGCCGCCAUAUAGCUGGAAUAUUGCUGAGUGCAGCGUUAAAC
Haliotis rubra (blacklip abalone) is the source of this 152-nucleotide long non-coding RNA. RefSeq lists it as uncharacterized. The transcript has 2 exons. The record is from RefSeq and is a predicted model, not a curated record. NCBI's taxonomy places the organism in Eukaryota, Metazoa, Mollusca, Gastropoda, Lepetellida, Haliotidae.